This is a long non-coding RNA of Hipposideros armiger (great roundleaf bat), 604 nucleotides long. RefSeq lists it as uncharacterized. The record is from RefSeq and is a predicted model, not a curated record. NCBI's taxonomy places the organism in Eukaryota, Metazoa, Chordata, Mammalia, Chiroptera, Hipposideridae. The transcript is spliced from 5 exons.
GGAGCGCGCGGGCCAAGUGGGACGCGGGGAGGCACGCGGCCGAGGGAGCGCGCCUCUGAGUGGCUAGAUCUGUGCCUUUUAUCAUGAAGUGUAGGGAAGAAAAGGACCCAAAAGUAAGCAUCCGUGAUAGAAAUCAAUCUCAGUAGAGCGCGCUCACGCUGCACCCUUGCCUCACUUCUAGCGGGGUAGGCCGGACAGGUGUCACUGCUGUGUUACAGGCCUUUAUUGAAACCAUCUAUCCUGGGCGGCAGCUUGGUUGUGGAAGAAUGGACUUUGGCUUCAGAUAAACUUCAGCUCAAAUGGACUUUGGCAUUCUCCAGGCAAACACUGGCUCAUUUGAACCUUCAAGAUUUCAAAGGAAGGACCUGAGAUGUAUGUAAGCAGAAGGUUUACAUCGUCUGGCGCUCUGGGGUCGAGCUGCUGCCCUGGGCGGGUGCACCGAGGACGGACUCCUCAGUUACAGCCGGGUAACCGGGACCUGCCCAGAGGGAGCCCCAAAACCAGAGGGAGAAGUUUUCUGCGAAUGGCGCGCUGUCCUUGGCCGCAGUGACUGCAACUCUCUUCCUGCAAAAAAGACGCCAGGUGAGGCCACCGUUCCUGCGGC